AUGAGGCUGCUCUUGUCCCCCAGUGGGGCUUCUGCCCCACAGCCCCUGUUCUCCUGGCAGGUCCCUGCAUGGGGAUGGUGGAAGGGGAGGCUGAGAGUUAGGGCUGACUCCCCUUUGCCUCCUUGGGGGUCUCCAUGGGGGCAGGUGAGGACCUGGCUGAGGGGUGAGUGCCACCACCAGACUGUUUGGCUGUGCUUCACAGGGUCAAGUCCUUCCCCAAAUAAAUGGAAGAGCCAGCUGGGCUCCCUCCUGGAGCCAGUGCUUUACCCGUGGCUUCCCUUGAUGAGGGCAUUAAUGUUUGAUACCGUGGCCUGGUGGUACCAAACCGUACCCCCCACUCCCCCCACCCCUCGCAUCACCCCCUCACCCCAUGUUUCUGUGCUGGGACCCCUGGUUCCUCCGUCCCCAGUGUCACUGACUCGUUCCAUGGCGUUACCAUUACCCCAGCUGCCUGAGAAACUCUGCCUGGGUACCUGCGAGGCCAGGGUUGGGUUGUUUGGUUCUGUUCUGGUUUGUUUUUGUUUUUUUUUUACUUCAGGAAAGCUUUUUUGGGGAAUACUCUCCCUGCAUGUAGCAUGUGUGCACAGUCUGCUUGGAAAGUGUUGGUGCUCGGCUGGUGGCCGUAGCUGCCCCAGCGGGCCCAGGUGGGGAAAGGGGCAGGGGGAAGAGCUGGCUUUGUCCUACACCGUACCUCUCUGCCUGUCCCCAGGCUUGCCCGGGUCAUCGCUCUCUGGACAAGGACCUUCCUUCAGCAGCUCUCUCCCCUGCCCUGGGUUACUGCUCCCUCGCCUCUGCCCCCCAGGCGGGGCUCGGGGGGGGUUUCAGGGAACAGGUUUGCAGGAGGGAUGGAGCUGGGGGAGCAGCGGGUGCCCCCCAGGUCCCCGAAACAGCCGCGUUACCCUCCCUGGCCCAGCCCACCUUGUGCAUGGCCCCAGCGGGCAGGGCCCAGGGCCGUUCCUCCCGGGGACACCCCGGCUGUUCCCCACCUCCCUGGGCCGGGGGCGAUGGAGGAGGGCGGCUGCUCCCUCAGAGCCCUGA
RNAcentral lists this long non-coding RNA (1038 nucleotides) under Calidris pygmaea (Spoon-billed sandpiper). RNAcentral's name for it is "lncRNA (ENSCPGG00000002576.1)". Lineage: Eukaryota; Metazoa; Chordata; Aves; Charadriiformes; Scolopacidae. The record is from RNAcentral.